CGUGUAGGCGGCCAGAUAGGUCAGCUGUGAAAACUCGAGGCUCAACCUCGAGAUGUCGGCUGAAACCAUCUGGCUAGAGUCCGGAAGAGGAGAAUGGAAUUCCCGGUGUAGCGGUGAAAUGCGCAGAUAUCGGGAAGAACACCCGUGGCGAAGGCGGUUCUCUGGGACGGUACUGACGCUGAGACGCGAAGCGUGGGAGCGAACA
This 205-nucleotide ribosomal RNA is filed under the name uncultured bacterium. Its description in RNAcentral is "partial 16S ribosomal RNA". It matches the Rfam family "Bacterial small subunit ribosomal RNA", at positions 568 to 774 of the family's 1533-position model. The record is from RNAcentral.